AAUGGGCGGAAGCCUGAUCCAGCAACGCCGCGUGAGGGAUGACGGCCUUCGGGUUGUAAACCUCUUUCAGUACUGACGAAGCGUGAGUGACGGUAGGUACAGAAGAAGCACCGGCCAACUACGUGCCAGCAGCCGCGGUAAUACGUAGGGUGCGAGCGUUGUCCGGAAUUAUUGGGCGUAAAGGGCUCGUAGGCGGUUUGUCGCGUCGGGAGUGAAAACACCGGGCUUAACUCGGUGCUUGCUUUCGAUACGGGCAGACUAGAGGCAUGCAGGGGAGAACGGAAUUCCUGGUGUAGCGGUGAAAUGCGCAGAUAUCAGGAGGAACACCGGUGGCGAAGGCGGUUCUCUGGGCAUGUCCUGACGCUGAGGAGCGAAAGUGUGGGGAGCGAA
This 390-nucleotide ribosomal RNA is filed under the name uncultured bacterium. RNAcentral's name for it is "bacterial SSU rRNA". It matches the Rfam family "Bacterial small subunit ribosomal RNA", at positions 370 to 772 of the family's 1533-position model. The record is from RNAcentral.